RNAcentral lists this ribosomal RNA (252 nucleotides) under uncultured bacterium. RNAcentral's name for it is "partial 16S ribosomal RNA". It matches the Rfam family "Bacterial small subunit ribosomal RNA", at positions 524 to 776 of the family's 1533-position model. The record is from RNAcentral.
UACGGAGGGCGCGAGCGUUAAUCGGAAUUACUGGGCGUAAAGCGCGCGUAGGCUGUUGUGUAAGUUGGGGGUGAAAUCCACGGCUCAACCGUGGAACAGCCCUUGAUACUGCGCGACUUGAAUCCGGGAGAGGGUGGCGGAAUUCCAGGUGUAGGAGUGAAAUCCGUAGAUAUCUGGAGGAACAUCAGUGGCGAAGGCGGCCACCUGGACCGGUAUUGACGCUGAGGCGCGAAAGCGUGGGGAGCAAACAGG